GUUACUUGUCCUGUUUCCUGCCUGCCUGUGAGGAAGUAGCCGAGCCACAGAGGAGCCUGGCCGGGGCCGCAGGGCGCGCACCAGGAUUUUAUAAAGCUGAGGAUGUCGGAGACCUCCACGCCCGCCUUUGGAGGCAGGAGAGCGGUGCCACCCAACACCUCCAACGCUGAGGAAGAUGACCUCCCCACGGUGGAGCUGCAGGGCCUGGUGCCCCGGGGCGUCAAUCUGCAAGCUGGCUUGCAUCGUGCAAUGUCGUGUGUGCUGUGACUUCAAUACUCCACAGUCACAUUCCAGCUUCCAGAAUCUUGGAAUCAGGAACAAGUAAGUCACUAACGGGAGAGCGCGGUCCCACCUGGCCUCAGAGAGCUCGUCCCCAGAGACCAUUUAAGGCUAGAGAAGCAUCCUAGGAAAUAAAUCAUUGAAAAUAAACACAACUUUGAAGGAAACGGAUUCUCACCUUAGCAAAGGACACCACGCCAUCUCCUGUGGAUACUUUCGGGGUGGAGGUGAUGAUGUCGGCAUUGUGUUGUGGGCAAGCCCCGGGGGCAGAGGCAGCGUGGGAAGGAGGGCCUUGUGUCCUGUCUCCCCACACAGCACCUGGGAUUUCGGCAGAGCCCCCAGGACAGAGAAGCUACAGCCAGGAGUUGACUUUACAAGGGAGUCAGAGAAACAUCAGGAUACCUGCAACAUUUUGUGGGGUUCUAGAGGCAAGGGGCACAAGGUCAAGAGGGCAGGACACAGCAUGGCUUGUUCCAUGCACGGGGCACCCAGCACAAAGGGGAGGGAAGGCUGGCCAGGCCUGGGCUCGGGCGCCACACCCCCCCACAGCAGCCAGACGCUCUGCCUGCACGGAGCUUCAGGAGUUUGGACAGCAGCCCCAGGAUUGGGGACUGAGGGUAAAACAGGAAAGAACUGCUCUUGAGCCGACAGGAGGCUUCCAGCAAUACCGGGUAGACAGCAAGGAGGGCCUACAGAGAUUCCCUAACAUGCAAGUGGGGUUAGAAGUCGGUGAUAUUUAACAAAGUUAUUAUUGCUGAAGUGUCUUCAUAUGAACCCAUAGGACUGUUGUUGGCACGUAAGAAAUUCCAGUGCCCCUGACGAACAGGCUUUCCCUCCCCCAGAGCCACACCAGAAUGGGGACCCCGGUUCCUUACCCAGCACACCACCCCAGCUCCGUCUGUUCCCCCCACUGCCAUCUGGAAGUCCAUGUGGCUCUACUUGUGACGCCUGCACUGUCCCUAUAUCACUGUUUUUCCCUCUGCUCCUGUUGCAAAUAGAGCCUCUUCCUCACUGUGCUCUGCACCAUAAGCACUGUCCAUAUUUUGGGCGGGGGCACACUUCCUGGCCCCACAGCAUGUCCACUUCCCUCACUCCCAAAGAAAAUUGGGGGAGGGGGCCAUGGUGUUCUAGAGGAGAAGAAACUCCAAACUCAGGGUAAUUUUCAAAGUAUCAGACAUUUAAAUAUAUGACAAGAAUGGAAUUUGUAGCGACCGUUGUCCUAGAAACCCAAACAAUAUUUAUAACACACAUUUAUUAGCCAAUUAUUUAGAGCUUUAUUGUGUCCUUGACCUUCUAGGCUCCACAAAAACUAGAUGUAGCCUUGACUUCAGGUGCCUGAGCCAAAAGCCAUAGAGUACGACUUCAGGCCCGGAGGUUAGCUGGGGGGUGGUAAUCUAGCUAAUGACAUAGGCGUACAUACUAAGGUCAUGCAGGGCCUGGCUCUAAUCAUAUAACAAGGACUCCUUGGCAGCCUUCCAACAUGUAGAAUGGCCUUUGUUUCAAAGAAACAAAUGUCUUAUCAGGCAGCCAGUCUCAAAGACCAUGCUUGGGAUUCUACCAACAUAGAUGGUACCUCUAUGUGAGUUAGAAAAAGAGGCCCCUGUUUAGUGGAACCAGGAUCAGUGGCAUAUGAUUUGGCAAGCAGGUGGCACCUUUGUGCAAAAGGAAGGGGCAUCCCAAGACACACAGCUUCGGCAAGUGAGCACAAGCUGGAUUUCAGUCCCCACUCUCCCCUUGGUCAGAGGUCCUUGUGCAGUCCACAACCUAUACAACCUUACCCAGCAGUGCAGGCCGUGCUUUGGAAUCAUCUCCUGCCAUGUGGUACAUGUUGAAGAAAGAAAGCUAAAUAAAGGGAAUAUUUUGCCUCAAAAGACAUCAG
This is a long non-coding RNA of Lemur catta (Ring-tailed lemur), 2158 nucleotides long. RefSeq lists it as uncharacterized. The record is from RefSeq and is a predicted model, not a curated record. The transcript is spliced from 3 exons. NCBI's taxonomy places the organism in Eukaryota, Metazoa, Chordata, Mammalia, Primates, Lemuridae.